This 520-nucleotide ribosomal RNA is filed under the name uncultured Glomus. RNAcentral describes it as "SSU rRNA". It matches the Rfam family "Eukaryotic small subunit ribosomal RNA", at positions 569 to 1092 of the family's 1831-position model. Lineage: Eukaryota; Fungi; Glomeromycota; Glomeromycetes; Glomerales; Glomeraceae. The record is from RNAcentral.
AGCAGCCGCGGUAAUUCCAGCUCCAAUAGCGUAUAUUAAAGUUGCUGCAGUUAAAAAGCUCGUAGUUGAAUUUCGGGACUAAUAUGUCGGUCGUGCCUCGGUACGUACUGGUAUUUUUGGUUUCUCCCUUCUGACGAACCAUGAUGUCAUUAGUUUGGUGUUAUGGGGAGUUAGGACUGUUACUUUGAAAAAAUUAGAGUGUUUAAAGCAGGCAUUAGCUUGAAUACAUUAGCAUGGAAUAAUGAAAUAGGACGUUUGAUCCUAUUUUGUUGGUUUCUAGGAUCGACGUAAUGAUUAAUAGGGAUAGUUGUGGGCAUUAGUAUUCAAUUGUCAGAGGUGAAAUCCUUGGAUUUAUUGAAGACUAACUACUGCGAAAGCAUUUGCCAAGGGUGUUUUCAUUAAUCAAGAACGAAAAUUAGGGGAUCGAAGACGAUCAGAUACCGUCGUAGUCUUAACCAUAAACUAUGCCGACUAGGGAUCGGAUGAUGUUAUUUUUUAAUGACUCAUUCGGCACCUUACG